This 396-nucleotide ribosomal RNA is filed under the name uncultured bacterium. RNAcentral describes it as "partial 16S ribosomal RNA". It matches the Rfam family "Bacterial small subunit ribosomal RNA", at positions 523 to 918 of the family's 1533-position model. The record is from RNAcentral.
AUACGUAGGGGGCGAGCGUUGUCCGGAAUGAUUGGGCGUAAAGGGCGCGUAGGCGGCGCGGUAAGUCUGGAGUGAAAGUCCUGCUUUCAAGGUGGGAAUUGCUUUGGAUACUGCCGCGCUUGAGUGCAGGAGAGGUUAUCGGAAUUCCCGGUGUAGCGGUGAAAUGCGUAGAGAUCGGGAGGAACACCAGUGGCGAAGGCGGGUAACUGGACUGCAACUGACGCUGAGGCGCGAAAGUGUGGGGAGCAAACAGGAUUAGAUACCCUGGUAGUCCACGCUGUAAACGAUGAAUACUAGGUGUGGGGGGACUGACCCCCUCCGUGCCGCAGUUAACACAAUAAGUAUUCCACCUGGGGAGUACGAUCGCCAGAUUGAAACUCAAAUGAAUUGACGGGG